AGAGUUUGAUCCUGGCUCAGGAUGAACGCUGGCGGCGUGCCUAACACAUGCAAGUCGAACGAAGUUACACAGAGGAAGUUUUCGGAUGGAAUCAGUAUAACUUAGUGGCGGACGGGUGAGUAACGCGUGGGAAACCUGCCCUGUACCGGGGGAUAACACUUAGAAAUAGGUGCUAAUACCGCAUAAGCGCACAGCUUCACAUGAAGCAGUGUGAAAAACUCCGGUGGUACAGGAUGGUCCCGCGUCUGAUUAGCCAGUUGGCAGGGUAACGGCCUACCAAAGCGACGAUCAGUAGCCGGCCUGAGAGGGUGAACGGCCACAUUGGGACUGAGACACGGCCCAAACUCCUACGGGAGGCAGCAGUGGGGAAUAUUGCACAAUGGGGGAAACCCUGAUGCAGCGACGCCGCGUGAGUGAAGAAGUAUUUCGGUAUGUAAAGCUCUAUCAGCAGGGAAGAAAAUGACGGUACCUGACUAAGAAGCCCCGGCUAACUACGUGCCAGCAGCCGCGGUAAUACGUAGGGGGCAAGCGUUAUCCGGAUUUACUGGGUGUAAAGGGAGCGUAGACGGCAUGGCAAGCCAGAUGUGAAAACCCAGGGCUCAACCUUGGGAUUGCAUUUGGAACUGCCAGGCUGGAGUGCAGGAGAGGUAAGCGGAAUUCCUAGUGUAGCGGUGAAAUGCGUAGAUAUUAGGAGGAACACCAGUGGCGAAGGCGGCUUACUGGACUGUAACUGACGUUGAGGCUCGAAAGCGUGGGGAGCAAACAGGAUUAGAUACCCUGGUAGUCCACGCGGUAAACGAUGAUUG
This 806-nucleotide ribosomal RNA is filed under the name uncultured bacterium. RNAcentral's name for it is "bacterial SSU rRNA". It matches the Rfam family "Bacterial small subunit ribosomal RNA", at positions 8 to 815 of the family's 1533-position model. The record is from RNAcentral.